Molecule: ribosomal RNA, 375 nt
Filed under: uncultured organism
Description: bacterial SSU rRNA
Rfam family: Archaeal small subunit ribosomal RNA
Source: RNAcentral
CCAGCACCCCGAGUGGUCGGGACGAUUAUUGGGCCUAAAGCAUCCGUAGCCGGUUUUACAAGUCCUCCGUUAAAUCCAGCUGCUUAACAGAUGGGCUGCGGAGGAUACUAUAAGACUAGGAGGCAGGAGAGGCAAGCGGUACUCAGUGGGUAGGGGUAAAAUCCGUUGAUCCAUUGAAGACCACCAGUGGCGAAGGCGGCUUGCCAGAAUGCGCUCGACGGUGAGGGAUGAAAGCUGGGGGAGCAAACCGGAUUAGAUACCCGGGUAGUCCCAGCUGUAAACGAUGCAGACUCGGUGAUGGACUAGCUUUAUGCUAGUCCAGUGCCGCAGGGAAGCCGUUAAGUCUGCCGCCUGGGUAGUACGGCCGCAAGACUG